Non-coding RNA from Borealophlyctis nickersoniae, 95 nucleotides. NCBI's taxonomy places the organism in Eukaryota, Fungi, Chytridiomycota, Chytridiomycetes, Rhizophlyctidales, Borealophlyctidaceae. The record is from the annotation of a GenBank genome assembly.
UCUCAGUUAGUAUAGUGGUCAGUAUCUCCGCCUGUCAGCGUCCUUGGUUGCUGCGCAGUCCGCGGAAGACCCGGGUUCGAUUCCCGGACUGAGAG